AUGGCUGGCAAGUACAUCGUCGCCGGCCUCGUCGGCUCCUGUGUCAUCUCGUACGCCUGCGACUACAUUGUUUCUCAGAAGAAGAUCUUCGGUGGCACCAUCCCAGGGACUGUGUCCGACAAGGAGUGGUUGAAGGCGACGGAGCAGAGGUUCCAGGCCUGGCCUCGCGUCGCCGGCCCGCCGGUCAUCAUGAACCCCAUCAGCCGCCAGAACUUCAUCGUCAAGGACCUCAACCCCUGA
Molecule: ribosomal RNA, 240 nt
Filed under: Triticum aestivum (bread wheat)
Lineage: Eukaryota; Viridiplantae; Streptophyta; Magnoliopsida; Poales; Poaceae
Description: partial small subunit ribosomal RNA
Source: RNAcentral